UAUGGUUUCUCUACCAUUCCUCCUGGAUUGUGUCCACCUUAACCAGUGCAGUGUUAUCCUGGAACAGGAAACCACAGACCUCCAGGGCACACACUAGAGAAUACUAUUUGCAGGUUUAAAAAGAUAACUGAAUGACAAAAUUAAAACCAGUUUGGUUGAAUGUUUCUCAUCCUGUUUUAACCACAAGGAGCAGAAAGAUCUGAAAUUCCACAGAGAUUAGAAUUUUGUCAGAAGAACUUCAACAUGAUAAUAAAAUUCACCAUAAACUUAACUGAAUAAUAGCAAUAAUAAUUUUUAAAAAGCUUAAAAAUGUAGUUGAAUUACCUGUUCCAUAUUGUAUGAAAUGUGUUCAUAGUUAAACCUUUUGCAAAUGUC
RNAcentral lists this long non-coding RNA (375 nucleotides) under Pongo abelii (Sumatran orangutan). Its description in RNAcentral is "lincRNA". The record is from RNAcentral. Lineage: Eukaryota; Metazoa; Chordata; Mammalia; Primates; Hominidae.